CCCAGACCCCACUAAGUGGGAUUAUACUGUGUUGUUGUUGUUGUAUAGUUUCAGCCACUUGAGGUUAUCUUGGACUUCUUUUUCCAAAUAUCUUACUGGAAGAAACAAUUUGUGAUGCUCUUCCUCUCCCUUAAGAAUUGUCCUGCACCUUCAUUUAAAUAAAAUUUCAAGAAGGUAUCCACAUUAUAUUGCUUUCCUCCACCAACUGUUACUUUAUUGCUUGGCACCAUGGAAAUCAAAUUGUUUUUUUCUCGAAACCUGAAACUCAUGAGUUUCUUUCUUUAAGGUGCCAUAUGGUUCCACCUCCUCUUACUGGGCCAUAUGGGAGUACUCAAAUAAAUUCAGUUUAGAGGGGUGUCUUUCCCGGUUCUUUUCCUUGACAAUAAUAGUUGUAAUAGAAAAUUCCAAUCAAAGGACUGCACCCUUUCCCCUCUUGUAUUUGUAAAUUUUAUACCCCNN
Molecule: long non-coding RNA, 459 nt
Filed under: Nicotiana benthamiana
Lineage: Eukaryota; Viridiplantae; Streptophyta; Magnoliopsida; Solanales; Solanaceae
Description: long non-coding RNA (NBEN_LNC003773)
Source: RNAcentral